UGGGAGGAGCUGAUUGGAAUUUUCUUUGCACACAAACAGGAAAGGGAAGUUGCAGUUGGGCUGAAGAAGAAGCAGGAAGUGGUAAGCGUGCCCGCUUUGGCCUUCCACCACGUUAGACCACGGCCAGGGCGAGAACCUUUGUGUGCACAGCCCAAGGUCUGGGCCACAGCUGGCACAGGGUGCUCGCCAGAUGACCUCAGUGCCCAGUACAGCUGCUGAUGGAUAUGAAGAGCCAGAUGUCCUCGGCAGCAGGACAGAAAAAGAUGGGUGCUGGCCAUCUGAAGGGACGCAGUGUGGCCGUCUUCAGAGCUGGGCCGCCUCCUGCCUUGAUCCUUUGACUGGGAAAAUACUGGAGUCAGAAGCCGCAGGAGAAAAACUGAAGGAGUAAAAGCUGUCUGGGCGGGGUGGUCUUUAAUGUCCUCCCUAUCUGCCUUGGUAUCCAGCUAAAGGAGAUGGGAAGGCAUCCCGAGAAGGGCCAGCCGUGACCCUGCCUGUACAAACCGGGGCAGAACAACUGACGAAGGCAUGCCUACGGCGUCUGAGGAACACACAAAAGCAAAUUGAAAAUACCCCACACACUGAUGCAUCUGGGUUUUUUGCUACACUUUCCCCUAGAGACCUGAAGGCGUUUUUCACAGUGAAACCAGCCCCCUUCCCCCGGGCCCGCUCAGGUAUUCCAUGGGUGACCACAGUUUGAGGUCAGGAGGAAGAAAGCCUGACCUUCAGAUCGUGCUGAGAGGGCCGGUCCUCUCUGAAUAUGCAUCCCACGAGAGCCAUGAGGACUGGUUAUUUCACCUCUAGUUCCCUUCGCCCACACCCCACCGCACCCCACUUCUGUGUGCCACAGGUGACCCGUCCUGGACGAGCAGGAUUUGAGACUCAGGUACACCCUGGAGGCUUGGCCGUCUUGAGAAUAAACUCAGCAAGACUCCUUGUUCCGCUGAUUAACAUUUGGGUCCUGGUUUGAUGAGAAAACUAAAAGCAACUGUGAGUGAACUCUGAAGUCACACCGAGAUGAGCUCGUCAAAUUCAGAGACAGACAGCAGAAGGUGAUUGUCAGGGGCUAUGGCUUGGGAGUCAACGUUUAAGGAAUAUAGAAUUUCACUUAGAGAGGAAAAAAAUACCCUGGAGCUGACUGUGGCAUGACAGUGUCACAGAACUGUCACUAAACAUGGUUGAACGAGUUAGUGUGGUAAUGCAUGCCUGUACUCCCAGAAUUCAAGAAGCUGAGGCCAGGGAAGCUAAAGGCUUUAUUCAGGUUUUCCUCAGUAUCCAUUUUCAUACUUUGUUUUUCAUUGUCUGAGGCCAGCCUGGAAAAAAAAAGAAAUAUAUAUAUAUAUAUCUCCAAAAUUAAAAAAUAGUUACCAAGUUGACUGACAGCCCCGAGAUGCCUGAGCCUUUAAGCAGACAAGUAAACGUGCCGUGCUCACUGGCCUGGUGGCACCCGCCUGUGCCCAGCGCCCCGCAGGCUUCUGCUGAGGUUCAGGUGGGUGGUGUUCCAUUGCCUUUGGCUUUUAAGUCACAUUCCUACCUGAGUCUUUCUCCAAGAUAGUGUCAUAAUCAGCGAGAAUGAGCAUUAUCUCGAGCUUUGUGCUAUGGGAGAGGUCUUUGUACUUUGAACGGAACUGGGGCAGAGGCAAUCUGGUAUUUUAGAGAGAUAUUGCUGUUCCCUUUCCCAGCCAGGUUCGGGUUUGGCAACUCACAGCCACUGUGUCUCAAUCCCAGAUCAGCUCAGAUCAACCCAGUCUCACUUUCGAAACAGCCUGGCAAAGAGCCGAGGUGCCCAUGACCGAGUCACCCAGCACAGCCUCCGCCAGGGAGAGGCCUUGGGUUUGCCCAGCACGGUCCCCUGCCCCCAGCGGGAAGCGUGGUCACUGAGGGACUCAGAUUGGACUCCCAAUCAGAAUAUUGACCAGGAAGCCUAGCUAAAGAGCUCCUAACCUGGCUCGAGCCAUAUCUAAAACUUCUGUAUUUCAAUGGUAGCUUGUUUCAGAGGCAAGGCUCGUGGAGGAGGAUUGAAAAGUGGAUGGGCCGCUCUGUUGGUUUUUCUUCCUGUGCAAAAGCUUUUCAAUAGGAUGAGAUCCCAGUUGAUUCUUUGUGAUAGUUUCUGUGCAGUCUGGUUUUGUUCAUAAAGUCUUUGCCUACACCAGUGUCUUCAAGAGUUUUACCUACCCUAUCUUCCAGUAGAUUUAAUGUUUCUAUUUUAAUAUUAAGAUCUUUGAUUAAUUCUGAUUUUAGCUUAGUACAUAGUGGAAGACAUGAGUACAGCUUUAAUUUUCAGCAUGUGUAGACUCAGCUUUUCCAGCACCACUUAUUAAAGAGGCAAUCUUUCUUUCUGUAAAUAUGUUUGGCACCUUUGUCAACGAUCAGGUGGCUUAGCAUGUCUGGAGUCGUUUCUGCAUUUCUAAUCUUUCCAUUGAUCUAUGGGGGCUUUUUGUUUUGGGUUUUUGUUGUUGUUGUUGCUUUUAGUUCUGCGCUGUUUUUAUCACAGUAGCUUUAGUCAGGGAUUAUGAUGCUCUCUGCCUUAAAAUCAUUGUUGCCCAGGAUUGCUAGGUUUCUUCUGGUUCCAGAUGAAUUUUAGGAAUUUUUAUUGGGAUUGCCUUGAAUCUGUGUAAUAGUUUCAAAAGUAUGGCCAUUUUCACUAUGGUGGGUCUUCCUAUCAAAGAGCAUUGGAUAUCUCUCCAUUUUCUAGUAUCCUCUUACAUCUCCUUUUUCAAGUGCUGUAGUUUCCAAUAUAGAGGUCUUUUACAUCCUUUGUUUGAUUCCUAGAUUUUUUUUUUUUGGUGCUAUUGUGUAAUGUGUUAUUACCCUGAUUUCUCUCUCAGUGAAUUUGUUAUUCAUGAACAAGAAGGCUAUUGAUUUCUGAGUGUUGACUUUGUGUCUUCUGGAUUGACUUUUUGAGUGUUCUUUCCUACUUUUAUUUUUUCCUUUUUCAUUUUUAUCGGUACCGGGGAUCGAACUCAUGACUGCCUGCUUGCAAGGCAGGUGCUUAUGCUGCUGAGCUAAAUCCCCAGUUGACUGCAUUUGGUUAUUAAAUCUAGUACUCUUUUGGUGAAGUUUUUGGGGCCUUUUAAGUAGAAUAUCAUGUCACCUGAAAAUAACGAUAGUUUAACUUCUUCCUUUCCUAUCUUUAUUCCUAUUAUUUGUUUCUCUUGUCUAAUCGCUCUAGCUAAAGUUUUCAGGACUCUGUUGAAUAAGAGUGGAGACAGUGGACAUCCUUGUCUUGUUCCGGGUUUUAGAGAGAUAGUUUUCAGGUUUUGUCCACUUAGUAGGAUGUUGGCUAUUGAUUUGUCAUAGAUGGCUUUUAUCAGAUUGAGAUAAAGACCAUCUAUUCCAGUUUUCUGUAGGUUUUUUUUUUUUUUUUUUUUUUUUUUUUUUUUUUUUUUACCACGAAUGGGUGCUGGACUUGGUCAAAAGCUUUUCCUGCAUCUAUUGAGAUGAUCAUAUGAUUUUUGUCCUUGGCUCUGUUAAUAUGGUGUAUUACAUGUAUGGAUAUAUGUAUGUUGUGCCAUCCAUCCCUGCAUCGCUGGGAUGAAUCCCACUUGAUUGUGGUGUAUAACGUUCUUGAUGAUUUGCUGCAGUCUGUAUACCAGUAUUAAGGAUUUUUGCAUCUACGUUUAUUAGGGAAAUUGGUCUGUAAUUCUCUUUCUUAGUUGGAUCCUUCUCUGGUUUGAGUAUCAGGGUAAUGCUUGCUUCUAGAAAAAAAAAAUUGGGAGUAUUCCUUCCCUUUCAGUUUCAUUGAAGAGUUUGAGAAGUAGUGGUGUAAGAUCUCCUCUAAAUUUCCUUUAAAAUUCAGCAGUGAAUCCAUCAGGAGUGUUAGCUUUUCUUUGUUGAUUGGGAUUUUUUUUGUGUUUUGAUUUUUGUUUUUGUUUUUGGUACUAGGGAUCAAACUCACAACCUUGUGCAGGCCAGGCAGGCACUUGUGCUGCUAAGCUAAAUCCCUAGCCCUACUGAUAGGUUUUAAUGACAUCUUUGAUUUCCUUGAUUGAUAUUGGUUUAUUUAGGACUGUUAUAUCUUCCUGAUUCAGCUUUGGUAAUUCAUAUGUAUCUAGUAAUCUGUCCAUUUUUUUCUGUAUUUUCCAACUUAUUAGAAUAUAAGUUUUCUGGGGCUGGGGAUUUAGCUCAGCGGCAUAAGCACCUGCCUUGCAAGCAGGUGGUCAUGAGUUCGAUCCCCGGUACCGAUAAAAAUAGAAAAAAAAAAAAAAACCAAAACCAAAACAAAACAAAAGAAUGUAAGUUUUCAAAGAAGGUAUAGAUGAUCUUCUGGAUUUCUACAGGGUCUCUUAUGAUUUCAUUCCUAUUACAUGAAUUUGAGUCUUUUCUUUCCUUUUUUUGAUAAAGUUGGAUAAGGAUUUGUCAAUUUUAUUUAAUCUUUCAAAGAAGCAACUCUUCAAUUCUUUGAUUCUUUGUAUUGUUUUUUAGUCUACAGCACAUUAAUUUCUGCUCUGAUCUUUAUACUUUAUUCCCUCCUAUUAGCUUUUGACUAAUCCUGCUCUUCUUAUUCUAGAAGUUUGAGGUUCACCAUUAAGUUGUUUAUAUGUGCCUGCUCUGUUUUCUUGAAAUGAGUAUUUACCGCUAUAAAUUUCCCUCUUAGGACUGCUUUCAUUGUGUCCCACAAGUUCCAGUAUGUUGUCAUUCACUCAACUGUAAAAACUAUUUAAUUUCUUCGUUAAUUUCCGCUGCGAUCCACUGAUUGUUCAGUAGGGUGCUGUUUAAUUUCCGUGUAUUUAUGAAGUUCUUGUGGUUUCCUCUGCCAUGGAUUUCCAGUUUCAUUGCACUGUGGUCUGAUAGUAUGCGUGGGAUAAUUUCAGUUCCUUUGCAUUUCCUUAAGCAUUUUCUUUUUCUUUUUUUUUUUGUCUUUUUCCUUUUUAUCGGUACCGGGGUCAAACUCACGACUGCCUGCUUGCAAGGCAGGCGCUUAUGCCGCUGAGCUAAAUCCCCAGCCCCAUCCUUAAGUAUUUUCUAUGUUUAUUUUGGAGAAUGUUCCAUGUGCAGCUGAGAAAAAUGUGUAUUUUGAUGGUUGUAGAUUUUUUUGAUCAUGGAUAAUUGUAAUAUGCCCCAUUUAUCUGUAUGUCAAGUUCUUUUUCUCUAUCAAGAAAUAUUCUGCCAUCAUCUCUGUGAACAUGUUUUAUAUUUGUGGUGUCUCCAGCUUUCUCAUUGACUCCAAUCUAUCUAAAGUUGAUCUUCUUUGUCUCAUCUAGCAGUUGCUGGAUUGAUUUCUCAUGGCCUCUUGCUAUUUUUGAGUAAUCUUUGUUUUCCUUGUUGCUAACUGCAAGUCUGUCUUCAAUAUCCGAGAUCCUGUCCUCACAUUGGCCUAAUCUGUUUUAAAUACUUUCAGUGGAGUUUUUUUGGGAAAGGGUACCAGGAAUCAAACUCAUGAUCUUGUGUCUGCUAGGCAGGCACUUAUGCCAUUGAGCUAUGUCCCCAGCCCUCCUUCAUGGAGUUUUUACUCUCCCGGAUAUCUGCUUGAAUCUGCUUUAUGGAUUCCGUUUCUUUCCUAUGCUGAGCUUCUGUGAUUUUCUUAAGCUUGUCUAUUUUCUUGUGCCUGCCCUACAGUCGCUAAGCGUGGUGUGUGUUUUGGUAAUCCCUGUAGUUAUCUGAGAGAUGAUUUCUGAUUUCAUUUUUUCCAGAGCCUCUUUCAACUGCUUUGUUGGUCCCACUUCAGAGAGGCCCGGUGGGGGCCUUCAGAUGGCCCCGCCUCAUUGGCCUGGAUUUGCCUUUGGUGAACUGGAUGUCUGGGGUUGGUGUCUUGCUUGUGUGCCUUUUCAUCUUCUUUUCUAGGUUUGAUUCCUGGGGGAUGCUUGUAAGUUGCCUGUGGUGGGCUGCUUUAUUGGUGUAUUUAGGCCCCCAGGUGAUGACCUCUCUGAGGUGUCUUCCAGGUGUGGCUGGUUUUUGGGUUUUGAGUCUUUUGGAAGAUCUUAUACUUCAGUUUGUCGGGGAUGAGAGUUGUUGCUUGUUUGGCCCUGGUUCUCUGACAGUGUGCCACAGUAUUUUCUGUGAGCCUUGUUAUGCUCUAUGCUUAUCGCCCUAGUAACCAUGUACCUGGAGCACCGACCACAUUGUUAUAAAUAUAGUGUUAUAAAUUAACUGACCUUGUCAUCAUGCUGUUUUGUAUGUGUCACCCCCCCCACCCCAGUAACCUGUUUGCUGUGUCAACCUUUGUUCUCCUUGUAAGAGACAAAUGAUACUGUGUCAACCUUUGUUCCCUUUGUGAGAGACAAAUGUUCCUGGAAUUGGCAGACCAAGGGCUAUGAAUUGGCUAACCACCCACUGUGAAAUGCCUCUGACCUCAAGCAAAGGGGAACAGAGGCCCACCUUGUUUCUGUUUCUCAUCACUAUGUACUUAAUGAUCAAUGAGCUAAUCAUAAAUGAACUAUAAAAGUCAGUCAAAAUUCUGAUUCAGUUGCACAGCUUGCAAAUUCCAUCUGCACCGUGUCGCUGGGCCAGCUAAAAUAAAAGCGCUUCUUGUAAAAAAGAUGUCAUCUUGCCCCGUUUAUUAUCUCGGGGGUCUUGCCCCGUUUUUCAUCAUGUGGCCUUGUUUUUGGGGGGAUUACAACAACCCUUAGUCAGUUCAGUCAUGGAAUACCGGACAAAUAGCUGUUUAGAACAAUUAUGUCACUUUUGUCUAGAGUGGGGCCAAUAGCCUCAAAUACAACCUAGAAAUCAACAAACUGAUCUAGCCCUUAAUUUGCCACUUUUAACCGUAUGAACUAGAUUUGUGAUUAUUUAACAAAAUAUAAAACACAAAAGAGAAUGAUGUGCAGUAUAUAAGUCCUUAAUGUGUCAAUUCCCCCUUGGUGAUUAAAAUUUAAAAUGGAUUAAGGAGGAAAAUAGAGAAGUGGAAGAAGAGAAAGAGAUUAGAAGUAUGGUUGGAGGACAAAGGGGGAUCCCGCCAGCUUGGGGGAACCGGUGCAGAAGACUGAAGGAAAAGAGGGCCCCGCGGCUCCCUCCUCCGCCCCCUCUCUCUGCAGAGCCUCCAGGGUCACCAUGACCACGUGCCGCAGUUUCCAACAGCUCCUCUCACGGAGCCCGGCUCAGGGAAGGCGCGCCGGCUCCUCCUCCUCGUCCUCUCAAGUGUGUCUCUGCUCUCUCUGUGGGCUUCAGUUUGCACUUCGGGUUCUUCCCGGGCCCGCGGGCCCACGUCCCCCUUGUCUUCCUCACCGUGCCGUACCCCAGCGCCUGGCCAGCAGCUCUCCAGGAGGCUGCUUCCUCUGCUGCUUCCUGCUCUGCCAUUUUUGUCUGCACCCUUAUUUUUUCAGCCUUAGUUGUAGCUGCCUUUCUCCUUUUCUUUUUUUUGCAACAGAGAGAGGGUCUCACUGUAGUUCACUGACCUUGAACAACUCACGGGCAGCAUAGUCCGGCCUUGAACGCAGGCUGUCUCUCGGCCUCAGGCUCCCGAGUGCCGGGAUUACAGGUGUGCACCACCAUGCCCAGAAGUUGUGCCUGUUCACUGUAUUUGUCUGCUGUAGUUUGGACAUCGUGGCCUCCACGGCCCGCGCGUUGCAGGCUUGGUCUCCAGGAUGG
Molecule: long non-coding RNA, 7524 nt
Organism: Cavia porcellus (domestic guinea pig)
Lineage: Eukaryota; Metazoa; Chordata; Mammalia; Rodentia; Caviidae
Exons: 3
Source: RefSeq, a predicted model, not a curated record